GAUGAAGAACGCAGCGAAAUGCGAUACGUAAUGUGAAUUGCAAAUUCAGUGAAUCAUCGAGUCUUUGAACGCACAUUGCGCCCCCUGGUAUUCCGGGGGGCAUGCCUGUCCGAGCGUCAUUGCUGCCCUCAAGCACGGCUUGUGUGUUGGGCCCCGUCCUCCGAUCCCGGGGGACGGGCCCGAAAGGCAGCGGCGGCACCGCGUCCGGUCCUCGAGCGUAUGGGGCUUUGUCACCCGCUCUGUAGGCCCGGCCGGCGCUUGCCGACCAACCCAAAUUUUUAUCCAGGUUGACCUCGGAUCAGGUAGGGAUACCCGCUGAACUUAAGCAUAUCAAUAAGCGGAGGA
Molecule: unclassified non-coding RNA, 345 nt
Filed under: soil metagenome
Description: partial contains 5.8S ribosomal RNA, internal transcribed spacer 2, and large subunit ribosomal RNA
Rfam family: 5.8S ribosomal RNA (bases 1-119)
Source: RNAcentral